RNAcentral lists this transfer RNA (75 nucleotides) under Candidatus Cerribacteria bacterium 'Amazon FNV 2010 28 9'. Its description in RNAcentral is "tRNA-Arg". It matches the Rfam family "tRNA". Rfam says of the family: Transfer RNA (tRNA) molecules are approximately 80 nucleotides in length. The record is from RNAcentral. Lineage: Bacteria; Candidatus Cerribacteria.
GCCAAUAUAGUUCAACGGAUAGAACGGAGGUUUCCUAAACCUUAAAUCCAAGUUCGACUCUUGGUAUUGGCACAA